Molecule: ribosomal RNA, 322 nt
Filed under: uncultured eukaryote
Lineage: Eukaryota
Description: partial 18S ribosomal RNA
Rfam family: Eukaryotic small subunit ribosomal RNA
Source: RNAcentral
CCCUUAGAUGUUCUGGGCCGCACGCGCGCUACACUGAUGCAUUCAACGAGCCUAUCCUUGACCAACAGGUCCGGGUAAUCUUUGAAUCUGCAUCGUGACGGGGAUAGAUUAUUGCAAUUAUUAAUCUUCAACGAGGAAUGCCUAGUAGGCGCAAGUCAUCAGCUUGCGUCGAUUACGUCCCUGCCCUUUGUACACACCGCCCGUCGCACCUACCGAUUGAAUGUUUCGGUGAAGAUUCCGGAUAGGACUUUUUUGAUUUAUUUCAAUUUUGUCUUAAAAGCUAUCUAAACCUCAACAUUUAGAGGAAGGUGAAGUCGUAACA